GGCGGCCAGGUGCCGGGGCGCGCGCCCGGGGCGCGGGGGGCGGAGCCCGGCAGGGGGUGCGGGUCCCGGCUCCGUCAGUGACUGCCCGGGGCUCGCGCGUGAGGGGAGCCGGGCAGACGCCCGCCCCCUUCAAAGCCUGAGGAGGCUGCGGGGACCGGGUGAGGGGCUGGAAAGGGCGUGAGGGGUGGGGGGCGCUCAGGCCCUGCCGCCUUCCCGGGAGCGGCGAGGGCACGGGGGCCAAGCCGACUCUCACGUCUGGGCUUCCUCGGGGUGCACAAAACCCGAGGGAGCGGACUGAGACGUGGUCCCCGGGAGGCGGCUGUCCCCCCUCGGGUGGCCGCGCGGGAGGGCAGAGGCCGGAGGGGAAGGGGCCGAGCCAAGUGGCCGAGUCUGACACGUCGAAGGAGAAGGAGCUCUCUUCUCUCCGACCCUUGGCCCUCCGCACCUGAGGAGGUUAGAAAAGGGGGGCGUCCGGGGAUGGCUGCCCUCCCCCGGGGGGCGCAGCACCCGUGGGCGGGGGAGGGGACGACGACGCCGGCCUUCUGGGCGGAACGGCAGCAUCUCUGCAGCCAAACUGGCUGUGGGCGCCCGAGUCUUUCUCUCUGCCCCACAGUUCCAAUCCGAAGCAAGGCGAUGAUGGUUCUCUCCCCCCAAAACCUCCUGCCUGGCUUGCAUUUUUUUUUUUUUUUCCGCCCUCUUUCUUCUUUCUCAUCUGAAGGGUUUUGCCUCCCACUCGAGAGAAAUCAAUUAAAAAAAAAAAAAAAAAAGAUGUGCUGGAUGCAUCCUUGGAUGGAGGAGGAGAGGAAUGACUCCCUCACCCUGCUACACACGCCCCCACGCCACCCCACAGCUCUGAAACGGCUUUUCUUUCUUCGGCAGCCGCACUCUGUUGCCAUUCCAGGCUUGUGUGGGAGAAGACUGCUGUGCGCCUGUGUCUGUCCGCCCGGGCGACUCCAGCCCUCGGUUAAUGAAAGGAAGAGGAAAUAGAAGCAUGAAGAAUUUGCCAGGCAGCAGGCUAAAUCAGGUUCAUCGUUUGUUAGUCCAUUCGGAGUGCAGAGGGGGCUUCCUGGAUGGCUCAGCAAGUAAAGUAUCCACCUGCAGUGCAGGAGACACAGAAGACUCAGAUUCAGUUCCUGGGUCAGGAAGAUCCCUUGGAGGAAGCAGUGGCAACCCACUCCAGUAUUCUUGCCUGGAAAAUCCAAUGGACGAAGAGCCUGGUGGGCUACAGUCCAUGGGGUUACAAAGAGUCAGACACGACUGACUAAGCGUGCGCACAUGCACACGCACGCACGCACGCACGCACGCACGCACACACACACGGGCUGCAGAGAAGAUACCCUCAUCCGCACUUGUUUCCCUCCACUUACACAGAGCUGUGUUUUCCUUCCCAUUAUGUCUAUUUGGUUCUGGCUAGGUCAUGAUUGCUUAUGUCAAAGACCAAAGAAAAUACCAUUAGAACCCAUCACUGGAACAUCUACAUUUCACACAACCCUGAAGGGAUACAUUUUUAUAGGAAGCAAAGAGGUAUGUUGCCCUCUAGGAACUGUAUGUCACUUUAGGGUGAUUAGGCUGACAUGCAUUUCCCUGAUGGAAAACAGGUACGAUAACCCUUGACAUCAGGAUAAUGUCGAGGUGGGAUUGGAGGUCAAGGUUUAGAAGGAUAUAAUUGAGGUGAGGGGGAUGGAAACAGCUUUUCUUCCGGAACAGAUUCUUCCUUUAUAACUUCAGUGUGACUCCUAUAUUUUUUAAUAUAUAUUUUAUAAUUUUAUAUGAGCACAUUCACUCAUACAGUUAACAGAUGUUCACUGAGAUCCAGUUGUGUGCUAGGCCCCAUUGUAAGGGCGAGAAGUAUUGUAGAGAGCAAAAGAGCUAAGAGCCCGGGCCUUUCUCCCUUUGCCAGUGUAUACUGAAUGGGGGAGAGGGACAUAAUAAGACAAUGAAUAAGGUAUUUUUCAGGGAAUGAUCAAAACUGUGAAGCCUGUAAGCAUAUGUUCAUGCCUUACUAGGUUCUGGUAGCUAGAGCCAAAGGGUACAAUGAUGAAUAAAAGCCUCUUGCCCUAGUUAGUGAAUUUUAGCCAUGGGCUCCUUUAGCUGGGGUUGUCUGGAAAGUGAGACCUCAAAAAUGAAUUUUCAGUCACGCAGAGAUGGAGGGGAAAGAGCAAUGUUCCAAGGAGGCAGCAUGUUCAAGACACAUAAAGAAGGCUACUGUGGCUGGAAUGUUGCAGGGACAGGGGAGUGUAACAGAAGGUGAGGCUGAAGCCCGAGUCAGGGGCUUAGAAUAAUCCAGGCCUUGUAAGUCAGAUCAGAGGGUGAAAGUCUGACUUCUUAUUUCUCUACUGUGGUAAGCCAUUGGAGGGUUUUAAGGAGGGACAUUCUGUGACUUUACUUUUCAUUUUAGAAGUUUACUCUGGCAGUUGUGUACGGAAUAGACCCAGGGACGCGUGAGGGGAAGUGGGAGCUCUGUUAGAAGCUGAAAGGUUAUGGAGGCCUGGUGCGGGGGAGGAGUGUGGAGAAGUUGAAUUGGAGAUCUGUUCUGAAGGCAGGACAACAGGGCAAGCUGACUGAUGGCGUGUGGGGUGUUAGAAAGAGAGGAGUUGAAGGACAAAAGCCCCUGCAUUGGACGCUCAGAGUCCUAACCACUGGACCCCACCACUGUGCUCUUGGAGCCUGGAACUGUGUUCUUGGUUAAGCACUGGUAGAAUGAAUGAAUACCAUAGCUGUUGAUAGGGUUAGGGUCUAAGCCUAAAUCAAGUGCCCUGCCUCAAAGGAGGGCUUUCUCCCUUUUGCCUGAUAGAUGUUAUCUCCACUUGGGGCCCGCUGGGAUUUUACCAGUGUACACACUGAACUGCAGUAUAAAACGGUAUUUCACUUUUCACCACCCUAAAUGGACCCUUUCCACAGAGUCAGCUGAUGCUGAAGUAGGUCAGAACAGGGCAUGUGUCUGUGGUCUGUAUAAAGCGUAUAAUCCUGUUACAACCUGUGGUAAAUUGUCUGCAAAGAUGGCUGGGACUUCCCUCAUAGUCCAGUAGUUAAGAAACUGCUUUGCAAUGCAAAGGAAGCAGGUUCUAUCCCUGGUCAGGGAACUAAGAUCCCACAUGCUGCGGAGCAACGAAGCCCACGAGCCACAGCUAGAGAGUCCGUGUGCCACAAUGAAAAGUCCUGCGUGACACAAGGAAGUUCCUGCGCGCUGCAACCAAGGUCCAACACAGCCAAAUCAGUUCAUUAAAACAACAUUUUUUUUCCAUCUCUGUGCAUAUGUUGCCCCUCCCAACAACAGACAGAGUUUGUUCCCCAUCCCCUUGAAUCUGGUGGCCUUGAGACGUGCUCAAUAGAAGUUAAAAUAACAUCCUAUGACUUUGGGCCUGGGACUUAAGAGCCCUUGCAACUUUCAGUUUUAAUGCCUUGGGAUCUAGACACCAGGUUUAAGAAGCUUGUAAUUCUAAAUGAUGUGAAACCACAGGGAGAGAGAGAAGCCCAGCCAGCGUCCAGCCAUCCCAGCCUCUGCAGCUGAGGUGUAAAACGUGAAUCAAGCCGUCUUGGAUUCUCCAGCCCAGCCAAGCUGUGCCAGCCAGCCAAAUGCAGCAGACAAAAGAACCCCGCUCAAAUCGCACGAUCAUGCGAGAUAAUGAAUGGGGCUGUUUUAGGCCACUGCUUUGGGGAGUUAUUUGUUAUUUAGCAACAGAUAGCUAAACUAGAAUCUGUUCCAGGAUUCAUUUUAUGGCACAACUUCUAGAAACACACUGUAUUUAAAAGCAGGGUGCCUUCAAUUUCUAGCAAAACUACAGAUGUAGUUAUCUCUUGUCUCAGCUGUGUCCCUUCUAGGAAUCAGUUCCAAAGGUAUCCUGGCAAAAAUACAGAGAGAUAUAUUGGCUAUUAAUUUCAGCACUAUUUGCAAUAGCAUCAAACUUCAAACACUUCAAAUAUCUAUCAGUAGGGGACUGGAUGAAUAAGCUAUGUAGCAUCCAUGUGAUGGAGUGCUAGGCAACUGUAAAAAAGGACACUGAACCACCUCUGAACUACUGUGCAGAAACAUGCAUGUGGUAUGUUAUGCUACUGUUUAUAAUUAUUUUUUAAUGGAAGGAUUAAAUAUAACAUUUUCAAAAGAAAUUAUUGCCUAUAAGGGGAGAGAGGAGAUAGGGUAAAUGAUAUCACAGGAAUAUAAUCCACAAACUCUAGACUGUGGGAAACAUUAUGAAACAGCCGACCCAGUUUCUUCAAUAAUUAAAGAUUUUUUUUAAAGGGUGAUAGAAUGGGAACCUGGUGAUUAAAAAGAGGGACUUAAGAGCAUGUGAAACAAUUAUAAUUUAUGAACCUAUUGGUAUUCUGAUUUGAAUAAUUAAACUAAAAGUUUAUGAGACAAUGGGAAAGUGAAAACAUGGGUUGAAUAUUCAACAAUAUUAAGAGUUUGUUAUGCAAGUGUGAUAAUGAAAGUGUGGUAAUCUUCUUAAAAGAGUAAUCAUGUAUUUGAGAUACACAUCUCUAUUUUGUAUAGUUGAAAUCCUGUGACACUGGGAGUCACUUCAAAAGAAUUACAUGGAUUGGUUAAGUGAGUGAAAUUAUAGAUUAAACCAAAUUGGCUGUGAGUUGAAAAUUAUUGAAUCUGCACAGUUUGUUCAUGAAGGUUCAUUAUGUUGUCAUCUUUACUUUUGCUUAUAUUUGAAAUUUUCCAAAAUAGUAAAAAAAAAAAAAAAGAAGGGCCCCUGAGCCCCGGUGUUUUAAGAGUGCUGAAUCCGUUCUCCUCAUAAUAGCACAGCUUACGCCCAUCAUCCCCAAGUCACCGCAUCUACGUCAAAUGGAAAUCAUGUCUGUGACCCAUGAUGGGUAUUUGGAACUGUGGGUGAUUGACACCAUGUCAGUAAUUUUAAAGUUACAGUGAGUUCUCAGGCGGUCCAGGUGUGUUUGUUUUUUUUUAAGAAUUUCCUGUGCAACAGGGACCUACUAUAUAGGACAGGGAACUAUACUCAAUGUCUUGUAAUAACGUAUAAGGGAAAAGAAUCUGAAAAAAAUGUAUGCACAUAUUCACAUGUAUGAAUAACUUUGCGGUACACCUGAAACUGGCAUGACAUUUUAAAUCAACUACAGUAAACAAUUUUAAUGUAAUUAAAAAGAGAAUUUCCUGUGUCGUGUUAUUUCUUACACUUAGGAGAAGGUUUAAAUAACAUGUAAAUAGUCCCCUUCUUCUCUUCCAAACACAUGCCUUUCAUUCACCCGGUCAUUCAGCACUCCUUGGUCGAGGGACUGUGUGAGAGGUUCUGGUGUUGGGGACAGGGUGCAGCCAUGCAAAAGGCUGUCAGCACGUGAGCCCACUGCUUACUGCACCGUGGGACAGGAGAGGGCUGUGACGGUCUGCGCAAGCACAGAGGAAGAGCCUGGGUGCUCUAGUAGGAGUGGGGAGAAGUUUCAGAAGAGGCGGUGUCUGGGGCAUGGUUCUGGAGAAUGGGCUUCCCUUGUGGCUCCACUGGUAAAGAAUCUGCCUGCAAUGAAGGAAACCUGGGUUCCAUCCCUGGGUUGGGAAGAUUCCCCUGGAGAAGGGAAAGGCUACCCACUCCAGUAUUCUGGCCUGGAGAAUUCCAUGGACCGUAUAGUCCAUGGGGUCUCAAAGAGUCGGACACGACUGAGCAACUUUCACUUUGCUUCACUGGAGAAGAAUAACUAAGAAUUGGAAUUAGCUUCUUUUGGAGGCAAGAUGUAACCUGAAGCUUUCCACUUUACAAAAUUCUUUUACUUUCAAAUACCAAAGUGUCCUCCUCUCCUUCCUCCAAUUAAACGAAUGACGUUGGUUGGCCAAAAGAUCUGUUCAGGAUCCAAAUGAACUUUUUGGUCAACCCAGUAUGUAUGAGUCAUCCUCAAAGUGUGGUCCCUGGACCAGCAGCAUUGCCAUCCCUUGGGAACUUUGAGCCCCAUCCCAGACCUGCUGAAUCUGAGAACCAUAGAGUCACUUCCAUAAAUGCAGCUUGAAGAAGG
Molecule: long non-coding RNA, 5964 nt
Filed under: Capra hircus (goat)
Lineage: Eukaryota; Metazoa; Chordata; Mammalia; Artiodactyla; Bovidae
Description: lncRNA (ENSCHIG00000006842.1)
Rfam family: mir-563 microRNA precursor family (bases 1516-1594)
Source: RNAcentral